UCCUGUCUUUGGGCCACAUGUCCUCAAGGU
This 30-nucleotide non-coding RNA is filed under the name Homo sapiens (human). The record is from RNAcentral. Lineage: Eukaryota; Metazoa; Chordata; Mammalia; Primates; Hominidae.